UUGGUCAAUGGCCUAACGGCUGAACCAGCAAUUCAAAUGGAUGUCCUGUUUUUAAUGGGUUAAAUCAGUCUUAAAAGAAAAAGACAAAAGCUAAUUGAAGUUUUUAGUGGUUUAUCCACAUGAAGAUCUGAUAGGAUACUGAUAAUGACAAUAUUCUAUAUUAGUCUUGACUAACUCACGUGCCAGCAGUCGCGGCAAUACGGGAGAGACGAGUGUUAUUCAUCUUUAUUAGGUUUAAAGGGUACCUAGACAGUAUAAUUUGCUAUUAUAAGAACAUUUAUGCUAGAGUUUUAUGUGAAAGGGGUUUAGUACUAACAGAGUAGAGAUAAAAUUUUGUGAUACUGUUGGGCACUGGUAACGGCGAAGGCAGACCUUUAUGUAAAAACUGACGUUGAGGGACGAAGGCUUGGGUAGCAAACAGGAUUAGAUACCCUAUUAGUCCAGGCAGAAAAUGAUGAGUGCCAUAGAUUAGAGAGAUUUUGAUCUAUAAAUGAAAGUAGAAGCAUUCCACCUCAAGAGUAAUGUGGCAACGCAGGAACUGAAAUCAUUAGACCGUGCCCGAAACCAGUAGUGAAGUAUGUUGUUUAAUUCGAUAACCCUCGAAAAACCUUACCACGAAUUGUAUAUAUAUAGCUGAGUAAAACUACAUUGUUUUACCUGGAAUCUUUUAAGUAAAAACGCUAUUUUUUACAAGUGCUGCAUGGCUGUCUCAAGUUAAUGUCGUGAGAUGCAGGUUAGCUCCAUCAAAUUAACGUAAACCCUCAUUACACUUUAGUGUGGUGGUUCUCCGGCAUAUCGGGAAGAUAAA
This 808-nucleotide ribosomal RNA is filed under the name Arthonia sp. 'lobariicola'. Its description in RNAcentral is "mitochondrial SSU rRNA". It matches the Rfam family "Bacterial small subunit ribosomal RNA", at positions 364 to 1173 of the family's 1533-position model. The record is from RNAcentral. Lineage: Eukaryota; Fungi; Ascomycota; Arthoniomycetes; Arthoniales; Arthoniaceae.